GACGAACGCUGGCGGCGUGCUUAACACAUGCAAGUCGAACGGAAAGGCCCUGCUUUUGUGGGGUGCUCGAGUGGCGAACGGGUGAGUAACACGUGAGUAACCUGCCCUUGACUUUGGGAUAACUUCAGGAAACUGGGGCUAAUACCGGAUAGGAGCUCCUGCUGCAUGGUGGGGGUUGGAAAGUUUCGGCGGUUGGGGAUGGACUCGCGGCUUAUCAGCUUGUUGGUGGGGUAGUGGCUUACCCAGGCUUUGACGGGUAGCCGGCCUGAGAGGGUGACCGGCCACAUUGGGACUGAGAUACGGCCCAGACUCCUACGGGAGGCAGCAGGGGGGAAUAUUGCACAAUGGGCGGAAGCCUGAUGCAGCGACGCCGCGUGCGGGAUGACGGCCUUCGGGUUGUAAACCGCUUUCGCCUGUGACGAAGCGUGAGUGACGGUAAUGGGUAAAGAAGCACCGGCUAACUACGUG
RNAcentral lists this ribosomal RNA (468 nucleotides) under uncultured bacterium. Its description in RNAcentral is "partial 16S ribosomal RNA". It matches the Rfam family "Bacterial small subunit ribosomal RNA", at positions 28 to 507 of the family's 1533-position model. The record is from RNAcentral.